Molecule: ribosomal RNA, 372 nt
Filed under: uncultured organism
Description: bacterial SSU rRNA
Rfam family: Bacterial small subunit ribosomal RNA
Source: RNAcentral
CGUAGGGUGCGAGCGUUAAUCGGAAUUACUGGGCGUAAAGUGUGCGCAGGUGGCUGAGCAAGUCGAGUGUGAAAUCCCCGGGCUUAACUUGGGAAUUGCGCUCGAAAUUACUUGGCUCGAGUGUGGCAGAGGAAGGUGGAAUUCCAGGUGUAGCGGUGAAAUGCGUAGAGAUCUGGAGGAACACCGAUGGCGAAGGCAGCCUUCUGGGCCAACACUGACGCUCAUGCACGAAAGCGUGGGGAGCAAACAGGAUUGGAUACCCUGGUAGUCCACGCCCUAAACGAUGAUGACUAGUUGUUGGGGGAGUUAAAUCCCUUAGUAACGCAGCUAACGCGUGAAGUCAUCCGCCUGGGGAGUACGGUCGCAAGAUUA